AGCGAACGCUGGCGGCAGGCCUAACACAUGCAAGUCGAACGGAUCCUUCGGGAUUAGUGGCGGACGGGUGAGUAACACGUGGGAACGUGCCCUUUGGUUCGGAACAACUCAGGGAAACUUGAGCUAAUACCGGAUGUGCCCUUCGGGGGAAAGAUUUAUCGCCAUUGGAGCGGCCCGCGUCUGAUUAGCUAGUUGGUGAGGUAACGGCCCACCAAGGCGACGAUCAGUAGCUGGUCUGAGAGGAUGAUCAGCCACACUGGGACUGAGACACGGCCCAGACUCCUACGGGAGGCAGCAGUGGGGAAUCUUGCGCAAUGGGCGAAAGCCUGACGCAGCCAUGCCGCGUGAAUGAUGAAGGUCUUAGGAUUGUAAAAUUCUUUCAGCGGGGACGAUAAUGGCGGUACCCGCAGAAGAAGCUCCGGCUAACUUCGU
RNAcentral lists this ribosomal RNA (432 nucleotides) under uncultured bacterium. RNAcentral describes it as "partial 16S ribosomal RNA". It matches the Rfam family "Bacterial small subunit ribosomal RNA", at positions 29 to 506 of the family's 1533-position model. The record is from RNAcentral.